GACAGAGGUGCCAAGCGUUAGGCGGAAUCACUGGGCUUAAAGCGUGUGUAGGCGGGCGAUCAAGUACCUUGUGAAAUCCCACGGCUCAACCGUGGAACUGCUGGGUAUACUGGUUGUCUUGAGCCAGCUAGGGGCGAGCGGAACAGACGGUGGAGCGGUGAAAUGCGCAGAUAUCAGGAGGAACACCGGUGGCGAAGGCGGGUCUCUGGGCAGUAACUGACGCUGAGGAGCGAAAGCGUGGGGAGCGAACAGG
RNAcentral lists this ribosomal RNA (253 nucleotides) under uncultured bacterium. RNAcentral describes it as "partial 16S ribosomal RNA". It matches the Rfam family "Bacterial small subunit ribosomal RNA", at positions 524 to 776 of the family's 1533-position model. The record is from RNAcentral.